GUUUGAGCGAGGGCUGGGGGCUUCCCUUCCGUAGGACGAGGCUCCGGGUGCGCUAUGAUCACGGAGCUGACAGAACCCCAGGAUUGUUCCACAUGUCCGUGUUUAGAAUGGAGUGGAAUGCACCGCACCAGAUUCCUCCCCCAGGGUGGGGCACGUGUAUCUACUCUAGGAGAAAGAAGAAUCUUAAAAGAAGCAAGAUAGAAGUGUAGAAGUGUCAAG
Molecule: long non-coding RNA, 219 nt
Organism: Galeopterus variegatus (Sunda flying lemur)
Lineage: Eukaryota; Metazoa; Chordata; Mammalia; Dermoptera; Cynocephalidae
Exons: 3
Source: RefSeq, a predicted model, not a curated record